GAUGAACGCUGGCGGCGUGCCUAAUACAUGCAAGUCGAGCGAACAGACGAGGAGCUUGCUCCUCUGACGUUAGCGGCGGACGGGUGAGUAACACGUGGAUAACCUACCUAUAAGACUGGGAUAACUUCGGGAAACCGGAGCUAAUACCGGAUAAUAUAUUGAACCGCAUGGUUCAAUAGUGAAAGACGGUUUUGCUGUCACUUAUAGAUGGAUCCGCGCCGCAUUAGCUAGUUGGUAAGGUAACAGCUUACCAAGGCAACGAUGCGUAGCCGACCUGAGAGGGUGAUCGGCCACACUGGAACUGAGACACGGUCCAGACUCCUACGGGAGGCAGCAGUAGGGAAUCUUCCGCAAUGGGCGAAAGCCUGACGGAGCAACGCCGCGUGAGUGAUGAAGGUCUUCGGAUCGUAAAACUCCGUUAUUAGGGAAGAACAAAUGUGUAAGUAACUAUGCACGUCUUGACGGUACCUAAUCAGAAAGCCACGGCUAACUACGUG
This 497-nucleotide ribosomal RNA is filed under the name uncultured bacterium. Its description in RNAcentral is "partial 16S ribosomal RNA". It matches the Rfam family "Bacterial small subunit ribosomal RNA", at positions 28 to 507 of the family's 1533-position model. The record is from RNAcentral.